GUGCCAGCCGCCGCGGUAAUACGGAGGGUGCAAGCGUUGUCCGGAAUCAUUGGGUGUAAAGGGUGUGUAGGCGGGACUGUAAGUCCGGGGUGAAAGCCCGCAGCUUAACUGCGGAACUGCCCUUGAUACUGCAGACCUUGAAUACUGGAGGGGCUGCUAGAAGUCGUGGUGUAGCGGUGAAAUGCGUAGAUAUCACGAGGAAUACCAAAGGCGUAGGCAGGCAGCUAGACAGUUAUUGACGCUGAGGCACGAAAGCGUGGGGAGCAAACAGGAUUAGAUACCCCGGUAGUCC
This 292-nucleotide ribosomal RNA is filed under the name uncultured bacterium. RNAcentral describes it as "partial 16S ribosomal RNA". It matches the Rfam family "Bacterial small subunit ribosomal RNA", at positions 505 to 796 of the family's 1533-position model. The record is from RNAcentral.